Molecule: ribosomal RNA, 253 nt
Filed under: uncultured bacterium
Lineage: Bacteria
Description: partial 16S ribosomal RNA
Rfam family: Bacterial small subunit ribosomal RNA
Source: RNAcentral
GACGAACCGAGCGAACGUUGUUCGGAAUUACUGGGCGUAAAGCGCACGUAGGCGGAUUUGUAAGUCAGGGGUGAAAUCCCGGGGCUCAACCCCGGAACUGCCUUUGAUACUGCGAAUCUCGAGUCCGGAAGAGGUGAGUGGAAUUCCUAGUGUAGAGGUGAAAUUCGUAGAUAUUAGGAAGAACACCAGUGGCGAAGGCGGCGUCCUGGACCAACACUGACACUGAGGAGCGAAAGCCAGGGGAGCAAACGGG